UCCCUGGUGGCUCUGUGGUAAAGAAUUUGCCUGCAAUGCAGGAGACCUGGGUUCAAUCCCAGGUUGGGAA
Molecule: transfer RNA, 70 nt
Filed under: Ovis aries (sheep)
Lineage: Eukaryota; Metazoa; Chordata; Mammalia; Artiodactyla; Bovidae
Rfam family: tRNA
About the family: Transfer RNA (tRNA) molecules are approximately 80 nucleotides in length. Their secondary structure includes four short double-helical elements and three loops (D, anti-codon, and T loops).
Source: Rfam by way of RNAcentral